RNAcentral lists this ribosomal RNA (217 nucleotides) under uncultured Streptococcaceae bacterium. RNAcentral describes it as "partial 16S ribosomal RNA". It matches the Rfam family "Bacterial small subunit ribosomal RNA", at positions 122 to 334 of the family's 1533-position model. Lineage: Bacteria; Bacillati; Bacillota; Bacilli; Lactobacillales; Streptococcaceae. The record is from RNAcentral.
UAACCUGCCUGGUAGCGGGGGAUAACUAUUGGAAACGAUAGCUAAUACCGCAUAACAGUAGAUGUUGCAUGACAUUUGCUUAAAAGGUGCAAUUGCAUCGCUACCAGAUGGACCUGCGUUGUAUUAGCUAGUUGGUGAGGUAACGGCUCACCAAGGCAACGAUACAUAGCCGACCUGAGAGGGUGAUCGGCCACACUGGGACUGAGACACGGCCCAG